GGGGAUGGUUUUGAGUUUUCAACUCCUCUCCUCGAUUAUUUGAAUACGAGUUCUCUUAUUCGGUUAGUCAAAUAGUCGUCACUUCCACCCACUUAAGAACAAAUAAAUCAAAUUCUUUUAUAAUAAGAAACGAAAAGGGAGAUGACUUUGAGUCUUUAAUUUUUCUCCUCGAUUAUUUGAAUACAAGUUCUCUUACUUGGUUUGUCA
This 207-nucleotide long non-coding RNA is filed under the name Lathyrus oleraceus (garden pea). Its description in RNAcentral is "Pisum sativum (pea) long non-coding RNA (PSAT_LNC040301)". The record is from RNAcentral. Lineage: Eukaryota; Viridiplantae; Streptophyta; Magnoliopsida; Fabales; Fabaceae.